GGCUGCGGCACUGGAUGGGGAGCUGUCGGGGCAUGAUGCACAGCCCAAGACAGUCUUUGAAGGUGAGGAAUCUGAGGCACACAGAGAUGAAAAACUGUCCAGGCAGUUGAGUCAGAAUUCAAAUGUUGGCUGUCUUCGUCUGGAACCCACACUUUCUACCUUCCUCUUGUGUUAUGGCUGGAUGUAUGACCUUGUCAUGUACGUAAAACAUCCGCAGACUAACUGGAAAAGGACUUUACCUCAGCCAAAGUGAGUGCAUUGCAGAAUAAGUGCAGAGAGCUUACCUUGGUUUUUAAAGAUAUUCCAAUCCGUUUUAAUUGGGGAUCUCAUUGCAAUGUGCUCCUAUGUCUUGAGACAGGUAAGCAAAACAAAACGAAGGUGAUUAGCAUGGGGAAAGAUGGGGCAUAUUUGAAGCAAACCCACUUUUUAAAGAAUUUCC
RNAcentral lists this long non-coding RNA (439 nucleotides) under Macaca fascicularis (crab-eating macaque). Its description in RNAcentral is "lncRNA (ENSMFAG00000056420.1)". The record is from RNAcentral. Lineage: Eukaryota; Metazoa; Chordata; Mammalia; Primates; Cercopithecidae.